GAUGAACGCUGGCGGCGUGCCUAAUACAUGCAAGUCGAGCGAACAGACGAGGAGCUUGCUCCUCUGACGUUAGCGGCGGACGGGUGAGUAACACGUGGAUAACCUACCUAUAAGACUGGGAUAACUUCGGGAAACCGGAGCUAAUACCGGAUAAUAUAUUGAACCGCAUGGUUCAAUAGUGAAAGACGGUUUUGCUGUCACUUAUAGAUGGAUCCGCGCCGCAUUAGCUAGUUGGUAAGGUAACGGCUUACCAAGGCAACGAUGCGUAGCCGACCUGAGAGGGUGAUCGGCCACACUGGAACUGAGACACGGUCCAGACUCCUACGGGAGGCAGCAGUAGGGAAUCUUCCGCAAUGGGCGAAAGCCUGACGGAGCAACGCCGCGUGAGUGCUGAAGGUCUUCGGAUCGUAAAACUCUGUUAUUAGGGAAGAACAAAUGUGUAAGUAACUAUGCACGUCUUGACGGUACCUAAUCAGAAAGCCACGGCUAACUCCGUG
Molecule: ribosomal RNA, 497 nt
Filed under: uncultured bacterium
Lineage: Bacteria
Description: partial 16S ribosomal RNA
Rfam family: Bacterial small subunit ribosomal RNA
Source: RNAcentral